AUUGAACGCUGGCGGCAGGCCUAACACAUGCAAGUCGAGCGGAUGACGGGGGCUUGCUCCUGGAUUCAGCGGCGGACGGGUGAGUAAUGCCUAGGAAUCUGCCUGGUAGUGGGGGACAACGUUUCGAAAGGAACGCUAAUACCGCAUACGUCCUACGGGAGAAAGCAGGGGACCUUCGGGCCUUGCGCUAUCAGAUGAGCCUAGGUCGGAUUAGCUAGUUGGUGAGGUAAUGGCUCACCAAGGCGACGAUCCGUAACUGGUCUGAGAGGAUGAUCAGUCACACUGGAACUGAGACACGGUCCAGACGCCUACGGGAGGCAGCAGUGGGGAAUAUUGGACAAUGGGCGAAAGCCUGAUCCAGCCAUGCCGCGUGUGUGAAGAAGGUCUUCGGAUUGUAAAGCACUUUAAGUUGGGAGGAAGGGCAGUAAGCGAAUACCUUGCUGUUUUGACGUUACCCGCAGAAGAAGCACCGGCUAACUCCGUGCCAGCAGCCGCAGUAA
Molecule: ribosomal RNA, 500 nt
Filed under: uncultured bacterium
Lineage: Bacteria
Description: partial 16S ribosomal RNA
Rfam family: Bacterial small subunit ribosomal RNA
Source: RNAcentral